UUUUUUUCUGCUCCUUCCCAGUUUCGCCAAGUCCUCUGCAAGUGAAAGGGAGAACAUGGUCUGUGCUGUGACGUUGAGUCUGUCGCCAAUCUUGGGGCACCACCAGUUGUGGGUGGAGCUCCUUGAUCUUGUACGAGAGCACUGAAAAAAUCGAAGAAGGAAAAAGAGAGCCAGCAAAAGGUCAGUGGAAUGGAGAGAUCAAGAAGUAAUGGACAGGAUUUGAAGUACAAGUAGUGCCUCACACAGGAGCCCUGUCUUACCAUGAGGCUGGUCAAACAUGGGAAACAGUUACCAAGGGAGUACUGUAGAGUGUUCAUCUUUCGAGAUGUCCAAUAUAUGACCAGAGAAGUCCUGGAAGAGCCUCCUCUACUUGUGCCUGCUUUGAGCUGGGCUUGGUCUGCAUGUUCUCCACCCCAUGUGUUGUGUGAUUGGGUGGGCCAAUGCUGGAUGCCCUCAGGCAGGAGCGGCGGUCAAGCUGAAUGGAGCAGACAGGAGCUGGGGGCCACUGCUCAGGAAAGCUGCAGAGGUUUGGUGGGCACAGGCACGAGAGUGGGCACUGGUGUCAGUCCCAUGGCUGGGAGCACAGGAAAGGAAGGAAGAUCAGAGUAAGGUCAACCUGAUUAGAGCUGACAGAAAGGCUGUUAUGUGUAACCAUGCCGAGGAAUGUCCUGGGAGAGCCAAAAGGCUGAGGUCCCACUGAGAUUUGAACUCAUACCGCUGGAUUCAGAGCCCAGAGUGCUUACCAUUACACCAUGGGACCUCCUUCACAAGCACUGUCUUUCCCCUGAGGCCACCCUCGUGGAGCCUUCUACUCCUGGCUGAGCCUGGCUGUCUCUCCAUCUCCGUGGACAUCACCAAGUACAGUCUUCCUCCAGGGCCACUGGCUGCUCUCUACUCACCGGGCCUUUCAAGGGACUGGCAGAGCUCUUUGCACAAGCCUCGCGUGCCCUCUCUUACAAGAGCCAGGCUGGACUCGCUGUCCCCUUGUGCCCCAAAGUGGCCUCUCCCUCCCUGGAAACCCCAUUUUCUCUCCUGAGGCUGCUCCAGACUCGGCAAGGUUUCAAUGUCCAGCCUGAGGGAACUUUCCCUCAUGUCCUGGCACCAGCACACUGCCUGCCCAGAAAGGGUCCAUGCACACAGCCAGGAAAAGCUGCAGUGGUGCGUUCCUCCUUCUGCCAAGGUUUGAGCCUGUGUGUUGAGAGCAGGGCCCUUCCUCCCAGCAGUCACACAGGAGGAAACCCAUGUGGGGACACUCUAUUGGAUCUCAGACUUAGCCCGGGACACUGAGGACACGACCUCCUGAUACCUUUGCACUUCCUAAAGCAUUGGGCUUGCAUCUGGUACUUCUGAACCCACACGACAGAGCGCGCAGUCAUACCCAAGCCUAAGAUAUUAAAUGCCAGGUCACAUUCAGAGGAGGCAGGAGAAA
Molecule: long non-coding RNA, 1429 nt
Organism: Tyto alba (common barn owl)
Lineage: Eukaryota; Metazoa; Chordata; Aves; Strigiformes; Tytonidae
Exons: 2
Source: RefSeq, a predicted model, not a curated record